AUGUUUGUUCUGACACUUAAGCAAUUUUUAUGUUCUGACACUUUAGCCAUGGCGAUUCUACACCCCAUGACCCGCCUCCUACCAGGGAGCAGCCAGGGCCUCAUGUACAAAAGGGCUCCGUCUCUUCUCAACCCAGAGCUAGCUAGGGAAGACGAAGCACAACAAUACCUGGCAGUGAGUUAUAAUCCAUCCACAAGCAGCAGCAGCACAAGUGUGUGUAGGUUGAUCAGACUGUACAUACACACACACCCUUAUAUGUCGGAGGAUCCACGGAGCGCGAUGGAGGGGAGGGCGAGGCGACGCGCCAGCCCGUCCAGGAUGCGCACCAAGGCUGUCAGGGUGGAGCCGGAGCCACCACCGACCAGGAGGCACGAGCCAGGGACGAGGGCGGCGGUGGUGUACUACCUUUGCCGCAACCACCACCUGGAGCACCCGCACUUCAUGGAGGUGACCCUCGCCUCCCCGCAAGGCCUCUACCUGCGAGAUGUGUUUGACCGGCUGGACGCCCUGAGAGGGAAGGGAAUGGCAGCCAAGUAUUCCUAG
RNAcentral lists this ribosomal RNA (543 nucleotides) under Triticum aestivum (bread wheat). RNAcentral's name for it is "partial small subunit ribosomal RNA". The record is from RNAcentral. Lineage: Eukaryota; Viridiplantae; Streptophyta; Magnoliopsida; Poales; Poaceae.